Long non-coding RNA from Prionailurus viverrinus (fishing cat), 216 nucleotides. RefSeq lists it as uncharacterized. The transcript is spliced from 3 exons. NCBI's taxonomy places the organism in Eukaryota, Metazoa, Chordata, Mammalia, Carnivora, Felidae. The record is from RefSeq and is a predicted model, not a curated record.
GGGUCUUUUGUGGUUCCAUACAAAUUUUAGGAUUGCUUGUUCCAACUCUGUGAAAAAUGCUGGUGAUAUUCUGAUAGGGAAUGCAUUAAAUGUUUAGAUUGCUGUGGGUAGUAUAGACAUUUUAACAAUACUUCUUCUUCCAAUUCAUGAGCGUGGAAUGUUUUUCCAUUUCUUUGUGUCCUCUUGAAUUUCUUUCAUAAGUGUUCUAAAAUUUUC